This is a long non-coding RNA of Ochlerotatus camptorhynchus, 235 nucleotides long. RefSeq lists it as uncharacterized. The record is from RefSeq and is a predicted model, not a curated record. NCBI's taxonomy places the organism in Eukaryota, Metazoa, Arthropoda, Insecta, Diptera, Culicidae. The transcript has 3 exons.
AGCGAGGAAAAUUUGGGAAGGACAAUUUUCCUCCGUGAAAAAUAAUAAUCGCAUCAGAUAAAACGAAACAAUAUUCAUCUGCGAGCGGACAAGAUGGCUCGGAAUGCAAAAACCCUCACCGAAAACGAUCUAAUCGACACCUUCCUUCCGCUAUCCGCUGCCGUUAAAUCUCCACCGGUAUACAAUCACGCUGCUAACAAUGCUGGAGGUUGUCUUCUGUCCUCAACCCUGCAUC